Molecule: ribosomal RNA, 450 nt
Filed under: Triticum aestivum (bread wheat)
Lineage: Eukaryota; Viridiplantae; Streptophyta; Magnoliopsida; Poales; Poaceae
Description: partial small subunit ribosomal RNA
Source: RNAcentral
AUGCCUGUGUGUCGUUGUGCUCUGAUUGGUUGUUUUUUGUGUAUUUUCGCAGGUUGCACGAGCUCUGCUGUAGCUGCGUCGUUCGACUCAUCAAGAUAUACCACGAAGGGAAGAUCUGCCUCACUGUGCACUUCAGGGGCGCAUACACUAGCGAUGGUACAGGAUUGGCUUCCUGGUGGAAUCAGAUAUACCACGAAGGGAAGAUCUGCCUCACUGUGCACUUCAGGGGCGCAUACACUAGCGAUGGUACAGGAUUGGCUUCCUGGUGGAAUCAGGUGCGCGUCGUCCAUGGUGGCCUGUCGUGGGUGUUGGUGGGCGGCUGGAGGCGGCUGUAGCAGUACUGCACCUGGUUAUCUACAGAGGAAGGCAAGGAUAACUAGAUUAAACAUUUCACAAGACCCUCCCAAUUACAGGCACAAACUCCUUUCAAGAUAUUACAAGUGUGGUUGA